RNAcentral lists this long non-coding RNA (279 nucleotides) under Lingula anatina. RNAcentral describes it as "uncharacterized LOC106159822". Lineage: Eukaryota; Metazoa; Brachiopoda; Lingulata; Lingulida; Lingulidae. The record is from RNAcentral.
GCUGAAUACUCACUCUGCAGUUGGGCACAGUUGAGUGAAGACGCAACAUUAUGUGUGGUGAAUUCACAAGUUUCAGCUUUUAUAAGACGUAGAAGCAAGUAUAUGAUUACACUUGGGCAAUCCAUUUAUGCUUAAAGAUUGACAUGCUGUCAAAGAUCUUUUUGUAAGAAGCCCACGGAGAAACUGUGCAACAUGGGCCUGCAAGCAACAAGGUCUUUGGUUGAUAUAUAUAUCAUCAAUUUCAUCUCUUAUAUCAAAUUCGAAUAAAUAUUUCUAUAA